Molecule: long non-coding RNA, 882 nt
Filed under: Homo sapiens (human)
Lineage: Eukaryota; Metazoa; Chordata; Mammalia; Primates; Hominidae
Description: long non-coding RNA NONHSAT199102.1
Source: RNAcentral
AAGAAGCAGCUGGACAACAGGUCGACUACAGCUGGACGAUGGAGAGAAGCAGGUUGACUUCAGAGGGACAGUUUAACGGCAUAACUUCGGAGAAGAAUCCAGCCAGAAACAGCCGAACUUCAGGGGGGAAACAAGAAGAAUCCUAGAUGUCUCAAUGAGAUGAAGAAUUGCCUACUGUUUAUCACCCUGACCCAGUCUUUCUCCCCAAGACAAGGUCUGGAAACUAAAAGUCCAUGAUCAAGGCAUCAGCAGAUCAACGUCUGGUAAGAGUCAGCUUCCUGAUGAGCAGAUGCCUCCCUGACUUAAUCUCACUUGUUGGAGAGCAAGAAAAGAGGAUGUUUUCCUGUCACUUCCUAUAAGGGUGCUAAUCACAGUCAUGUGAGCUCCACUCUUAUGACCUAAUUAUCUCCCAAAGGCUCCAUCUCCUAAUAUCAUCAUAUUGAAGGAAUGAAGCAUAAAACAUGAAACCAUUAACAUGAAAGCAGUGUUGGAAGAAGACAGGAACGUGGAAGAAUAAGACAUAAAGAGAGAGAGAGAGAAUGAGGGAACUAAAGGAAUCAAGCCCCAUUUGCCUUGGUUUUAUAGAGCUGAGAUGCUCAAGAGUUAGAAGCCUUUUACAUCGUUUGCACCAUCCUCUCUCCUCAGCCUCCCAAAUCAUUGAGAUUACAGAUGUGAAGUACUGUGCCUGGCUCAAGAAACUUUGUCUUAAAGGGCAUAGAAAGGAGGGAAUGCUAGAGUGAUAACUGAUGGUAGAAAUGACAGCUGGGGUGAAGUUGACUAUAAACUCAUUGAACCGUGCCAUUUCAGUACAGAGACGGGAACCAGUGUAAAGGACUGAUUACACAGAUGGAGAAUAUCAAGGUACAGACAACUACACAUGUC